UUUCAAGAAUAUAAUUAUAUUCGUUAAAAAUUCUGUCUGGGUCGAAUUUUUUAUAUAAAAUGCUGCAAAUUAUUUCUCGAUUUCUACUGGUAAUCAUCGUUGUCACUUUAGCCUGUUCUUCCAUAAUUCGAUGCCGGGAAACAAAAGCAGCAGAGUAUGUUUCAAAUGGACGCAGGACCACUUUACCCCGUUCAACUAGACCCUAUCUAAUUCAUCAAAAUCUGCGAUACGUUUUUGAUGCUCCUGAAACUUGAAGGCGCAUUGAUUGUCGGAAUUACAAUGUGGCUGCAAUGGAAUAAAAAUUUAAUACACACAUAUAUAUAUCAAACAUUCAAUUUAUUUCAAAUUUUCUUUAUGUGCUUCCGUUGAAAAAUUAUAUAAA
Gordionus sp. m RMFG-2023 is the source of this 382-nucleotide long non-coding RNA. RefSeq lists it as uncharacterized. The transcript is spliced from 3 exons. The record is from RefSeq and is a predicted model, not a curated record. NCBI's taxonomy places the organism in Eukaryota, Metazoa, Nematomorpha, Gordioida, Chordodea, Parachordodidae.